This 741-nucleotide ribosomal RNA is filed under the name Potentilla lineata. RNAcentral's name for it is "eukaryotic LSU rRNA". The stretch from base 326 to 481 matches the Rfam family "5.8S ribosomal RNA". The record is from RNAcentral. Lineage: Eukaryota; Viridiplantae; Streptophyta; Magnoliopsida; Rosales; Rosaceae.
UUAUCAUUUAGAGGAAGGAGAAGUCGUAACAAGGUUUCCGUAGGUGAACCUGCGGAAGGAUCAUUGUCGAAACCUGCCUAGCAGAACGACCCGAGAACACGUCCCAACACACGGGGGCGGAGGGUCUUGCGGCCCCUCGUCCCUUUUAUCCCGGAGGGCGAGUGUCCUUGCGGUUUGCGCUCCGGCCCUUCCGCUUGGCCUUUCCUUUCGGGCGUACCGAACACCGGCGUGAAUUGCGCCAAGGAACUUGAAUGAAAGAGCGUUCCCCCGCCGUCCCGGAGACGGUGAUUGUGCGGGUGGUUCGUCGUCUUCAAUAUGUCUAAACGACUCUCGGCAACGGAUAUCUCGGCUCUCGCAUCGAUGAAGAACGUAGCGAAAUGCGAUACUUGGUGUGAAUUGCAGAAUCCCGUGAACCAUCGAGUCUUUGAACGCAAGUUGCGCCCGAAGCCAUUAGGCCGAGGGCACGUCUGCCUGGGCGUCACACGUCGUUGCCCCCCCCCAAAACCCCUAUCGGGGUCGGGCGGGGCGGACGAUGAUCUCCCGUGUGCCGGUCACGCGGUUGGUCUAAAUAUCAAGUCCUCGGCGACCAACGCCACGACAAUCGGUGGUUGUCAAACCUCGGUGUCCUGCCGUGAGCGUGUCCGUCGCGGGCUUGCACAAACACUAUGCGUCGGUAAUCCGACGCUUUCAACGCGACCCCAGGUCAGGCGGGGUUACCCGCUGAAUUUAAGCAUAUCAAUA